UGGGGUAUCGCCAAGUGGUAAGGCACCGCUUUUUGGUAGCGGCAUUCCCAGGUUCGAAUCCUGGUACCCCAGCCA
This 75-nucleotide transfer RNA is filed under the name Halovibrio variabilis. Its description in RNAcentral is "tRNA-Gln". It matches the Rfam family "tRNA". From Rfam's summary of the family: Transfer RNA (tRNA) molecules are approximately 80 nucleotides in length. Their secondary structure includes four short double-helical elements and three loops (D, anti-codon, and T loops). Lineage: Bacteria; Pseudomonadati; Pseudomonadota; Gammaproteobacteria; Oceanospirillales; Halomonadaceae. RNAcentral also lists the same sequence under 93 other names. The record is from RNAcentral.